Engraulis encrasicolus (European anchovy) is the source of this 639-nucleotide long non-coding RNA. RefSeq lists it as uncharacterized. Lineage: Eukaryota; Metazoa; Chordata; Actinopteri; Clupeiformes; Engraulidae. The record is from RefSeq and is a predicted model, not a curated record. The transcript is spliced from 3 exons.
GUAGCGACGUAGUCUACAAAAGCUACAAUUUGUCCCGCAUCGAUGUUACUCAAUGAUUUUUGUUUUACUUUCUCUAUCCUGAAACCUAGGCAGUCACACAGGGGUUCCAAGACCCACCUGCGUGAAAUCAAGUCAAAGGCUGCUGUCUCAUAAUAUGGCGAAGACGAGUCACUUGAAGGCCUAACUGCUCUUAUGAGGAGCAGUCUCGCCAUAGAAGACUGAAAGAAUGUAAGAUUAACUUCUUUGUGACCAAUAUGACUUGCUCAUUGAUACAUUUGCUAUGUCAAUAUGAGGUGCAUGGCGAAGUAUUUAAUUUAUUUGUCUCGCUUCUAGAAGCUGUAGAAACAACAGGGUGUUCUUUUUCAGGGUAUUCUUUUUUAUAGAACUGGACAGGUCAUUUAUUCGUUCCCUUUGUUUUUUUGUAGUGUCCUGCAGGAUGCUGUGUCCUGCAAUCCUGUGUGCUGUGCUACAGACGCGUGUGGAGGUCAACCCAAAAUGGGCACAGUCUCACCACAGAAGAGUGAAAGAGGAUCCUGGCAGGGAGACGGUAGUGUCCUGCAGGAUGGUGAUGGGCCAAUCUUACAAGAGACCACAGAACACUGAUAUAGUGUAAGAUUAUCCCUGUUGGGCUCAAUAGGU